Molecule: ribosomal RNA, 497 nt
Filed under: uncultured bacterium
Lineage: Bacteria
Description: partial 16S ribosomal RNA
Rfam family: Bacterial small subunit ribosomal RNA
Source: RNAcentral
GAUGAACGCUGGCGGCGUGCCUAAUACAUGCAAGUCGAGCGAACAGAUGAGGAGCUUGCUCCUCUGACGUUAGCGGCGGACGGGUGAGUAACACGUGGAUAACCUACCUAUAAGACUGGGAUAACUUCGGGAAACCGGAGCUAAUACCGGAUAAUAUAUUGAACCGCAUGGUUCAAUAGUGAAAGACGGUUUUGCUGUCACUUAUAGAUGGAUCCGCGCCGCAUUAGCUAGUUGGUAAGGUAACGGCUUACCAAGGCAACGAUGCGUAGCCGACCUGAGAGGGUGAUCGGCCACACUGGAACUGAGACACGGUCCAGACUCCUACGGGAGGCAGCAGUAGGGAAUCUUCCGCAAUGGGCGAAAGCCUGACGGAGCAACGCCGCGUGAGUGAUGAAGGUCUUCGGAUCGUAAAACUCUGUUAUUAGGGAAGAACAAAUGUGUAAGUAACUAUGCACGUCUUGACGGUACCUAAUCAUAAAGCCACGGCUAACUACGUG